CAAUAGCGUAUAUUAAAGUUGUUGCGGUUAAAAAGCUCGUAGUUGGAUUUCUGCUGAGAACGACCGGUCCGCCCUCUGGGUGUGUAUCUGGCUCUUUCUUGGCAUCUUCUUGGUGAACGUUGCUGCACUUGACUGUGUGGAGCGCUACCCAGGACUUUUACUUUGAGGAAAUUAGAGUGUUUCAAGCAGGCAUACGCCUUGAAUACAUUAGCAUGGAAUAAUAAGAUAGGACCUCGGUUCUAUUUUGUUGGUUUCUAGAGCUGAGGUAAUGAUUAAUAGGGAUAGUUGGGGGCAUUAGUAUUUAAUUGUCAGAGGUGAAAUUCUUGGAUUUAUUAAAGACUAACUAAUGCGAAAGCAUUUGCCAAGGAUGUUUUCAUUAA
This 380-nucleotide ribosomal RNA is filed under the name uncultured eukaryote. RNAcentral describes it as "partial 18S ribosomal RNA". It matches the Rfam family "Eukaryotic small subunit ribosomal RNA", at positions 592 to 976 of the family's 1831-position model. The record is from RNAcentral.